UGAGCAACCUGCCCUUGACUCUGGAAUAACAGUUGGAAACAGCUGCUAAUACCGGAUACGACCUCCGACGGCAUCAUCUGGAGGUGGAAAGCUCCGACGGUCAAGGAUGGGCUCGCGGCCUAUCAGCUUUGUUGGUGAGGUAACGGCUCACCAAGGCUUCGGACGGGUAGCCGGCCUGAGGAGGGCGACCGGCCACACGUGGGACUGAGAUACGGCCCACGACUCCGUACGGGAGCA
Molecule: ribosomal RNA, 237 nt
Filed under: uncultured bacterium
Lineage: Bacteria
Description: partial 16S ribosomal RNA
Rfam family: Bacterial small subunit ribosomal RNA
Source: RNAcentral